UAUGGUUACCGUAUAAUUUAUUCUUUUGAUCCGAAUGCUCAGGAUGACCUAAGAUUUCACUAUCAAUCCAAAAAAAACCAUCUACAUUAUAUUUCAACUUUUUAAAUCCAUCACAUGGGUUAUCCUGGUCAAGAUUUUACUGAAUUAAAAUACAUUGAUGCAUUAACUAUUACUUAUUUAGAGGGGUCAAUUCCAUCUUGACUCACACACUGAUUUCGUAAGUUCUUGAUUGUGCUCAAAAAUUUUUCAUCACUGAAUUAGAAAUUCAGAUAGUUCGAUACCAAAGUACAGUGAGUUGCUUGUAAGUUACCAUGAUGAUC
Molecule: long non-coding RNA, 320 nt
Filed under: Elaeis guineensis (African oil palm)
Lineage: Eukaryota; Viridiplantae; Streptophyta; Magnoliopsida; Arecales; Arecaceae
Description: long non-coding RNA (EGUI_LNC003252)
Source: RNAcentral